AGCUUCUUCACCCAGUAGUCUGGGUGCAUGACUCCUGGGGCAGGAGGCCCCUCCUCCAGGAAACUGGUGGCCUGCUCCUCUCCUAGCAGGAGGACCAGUGGGAAUUUCCAGUGUGACCACCCAUCUCACACCUGGAGCUUUUCUGUUGCUUGUGGGGCAUUGGAGACAAGAGACAGGUGAAGUUUUAUAGCUUUUGCUACAUUUAUCAGCUUGUACUUCAGAAACAUUGAGUCAAGUUAAAGUGAUACCAGCAAGGAGCUCAGACUCCAACCAGUUGAAUAUGUAUUUGGCAAACGCUGGGACUGCGAUCACAUGGAAUGUGUGCCUGUCCCAGUUUCUCUCCUCCAGGGCAUCUCUGGCAGAGGAGUCCCUGCCAGACAGCCAGACUCUCACUGCACUCUCCAACUUUUAAGGUGAUAAAAUUACAUUGAAGUGACUCUGAGAUGCUAUCAUUGUUUAUUAAAAGUCCGUGUCCAAACAGCGGC
RNAcentral lists this long non-coding RNA (485 nucleotides) under Equus caballus (horse). Its description in RNAcentral is "lncRNA (ENSECAG00000045230.1)". The record is from RNAcentral. Lineage: Eukaryota; Metazoa; Chordata; Mammalia; Perissodactyla; Equidae.